GUGUGGACAAGUUCAUUUAUAUACAAAUUAUCUAUUUGAUAUUAUUCCCAACUUUGUACUUCGUUUAUAUCUAUUUACUCUAUAUUAUAAUGAUCUUACUAUAUUGAACAUAUAUUUGUAUUAUAUGGUUCAAUGAAUCCAAAUACUCUAUCUAUGAUCUUUGAUAUUUACUCACCACUGGCUAUUGGACAAAUUACUUUUCUUAAUAGUUGUUUUAUCUGGUUCUGGCCAGUUUGACAGUUCACCUUUUGACUAUAUAUACUGUAAUUUUUAACUAUAUUGUCAAUGCAGAAUAAGUAACACCAGAAACAACACUAUGAGCCGUAGCCAGCAUUAUAAGAUCUGUCGUUGCCUUCUUUAUAGUAUAUAAUAAAGUAUUUGAACGUUC
Molecule: long non-coding RNA, 388 nt
Organism: Mytilus californianus (California mussel)
Lineage: Eukaryota; Metazoa; Mollusca; Bivalvia; Mytilida; Mytilidae
Exons: 2
Source: RefSeq, a predicted model, not a curated record